GAUGAACGCUGGCGGCGUGCCUAAUACAUGCAAGUCGAGCGGACGGACGAGAAGCUUGCUUGUCUGAUGUUAGCGGCAGACGUGUGAGUAACACGUGGAUCACCUCCCUAUAAGACUGGGAUAACCUCGGGAAACCGUAGCUAAUCCCGGAUAAUCUUUUGAACCACAUUGUUCAAUGGUAAAAUACGGUCUUGCUGUCUCUUCUCGAUGGUUCCCGGCUUCAUUAGCUAGUUGGUAAGUUAACGGCUUACCACGGCUACGAUGCAUAUCCGACCUGAGUGAGUGAUCGCCCACAGUAGAACGGGAACAGCGUCAAGACUACUACGGGAAGCAGCAGUAUGGAAUCGGACGCAAUGGGCGAAAACCUUGCGGAGCAGCGCGGCGUGAGAGAUGAAGGUCUUCGGAUCGUAAAACUCUGUUUUUAGUUAAGAACAGAUGUGUAAGUAAAUGUGCACAGCUUGACGGUAACGAAUCAGAAAGCCACGGCUAACUACGUG
Molecule: ribosomal RNA, 497 nt
Filed under: uncultured bacterium
Lineage: Bacteria
Description: partial 16S ribosomal RNA
Rfam family: Bacterial small subunit ribosomal RNA
Source: RNAcentral